Plodia interpunctella (Indianmeal moth) is the source of this 1387-nucleotide long non-coding RNA. RefSeq lists it as uncharacterized. The record is from RefSeq and is a predicted model, not a curated record. Lineage: Eukaryota; Metazoa; Arthropoda; Insecta; Lepidoptera; Pyralidae. The transcript has 2 exons.
UCUGGGAUUUGAAUAUUAUAAUAAAAUCAUAAUUUGAUUUGAUGAUUCUGGUUUAAAAAUGUAAAGAAAGUUACACAAUGCAUUUUUAAUUUGAUGCGGGCAAAAAAUAUGACAUAGGAUGAAGCCUUCAAAUGUUGGCCAUGCUAAAUAAAAUUACAGUCAGCUGCAUGUCAAGUUACCCCACAUUGAUCUGUGUGCUUCUGUGAUAGUGGUGAAUUUGAGUAGAUUGAUGUGAUGCUGGCUGUAUGCAUAUAUAUGAUCAUGAUUUGUGCCCCGAUCUGAUUGAGAUCUUGUUGUUGUUUUUAUUAUCUCUAGGAUCAAAGGGUUCAUGAGGAUUGCUACCUAAAAUCCCAAAUUAAUAGGGAUAUGUUUUAAAGUAGUUUAAUCCCUUGAUCAAAAUUAAUGAAGACACAAUGCCAAAACAAUUGUUAUUUAGGCUACCAGUCAGGUUAACAUAUAACCAAAAGCUUAAUUAUAUAAUUUCACAUAUUAAGUUAUUUAGCCCUAAGGACGAUUCUUCAGCAUUGAUAUUUCAAAUAAUAGAGAAGGAAGGUUGGAUUCUGUGUCUGCUUGAUAUGUGAGUAAAUAUCCUCAUUCUCAUCCUCUUUUCGUUAAAUCUUAACCUCUGGAAUUCAAAAUAUGUAUAUUCUCUGUCUUUGGUAUUAUUAAAAACGAAAAUUUUAAUCUAUUUGUUUGUCUUGUAAAAAUGUGUGCAUAUUCCUUAUUCAAUUCUAUAUGCAAAAUAUCAAAUGAUGGACAAUGAGCAAAUCAACAAAAAUAAGUGAAAUUACAAUUUUACAAGAAACUCAUGAAUCAAAAACUUUGAAGCAUUCAUUAUGAUUCUUUCAUAUUGUCAUUUAUUUAAUAAAAAGUAAAUGUUUCCAACAUGACACUGGCUUCACACAAUACUUGUUACUGAGUUUGAAGGCCAAAGAAGCCAGAGAAAGUAUAGGAAAAGUGCAUUAUAUCAGUCGUAAAAUAGUCCUCCAGGUCUAAUAAAUAUUUACAAGGAACUGAAAUAGAGUUUAUAGAAACAGGUAGUAGACUGGCUGCAAAUAUGAUAACAACAUAAUUAAAACUAUAUUUAAUGAUUGUGAUUAUACGCUGCCCUGUGAAAGUAUGGCCAUAACAAGACUAAAAUUGCUCAUAGAUUUUAUGAUCACUGUAAAACCUGUAAGCCACUUAAAGUGAUGCGAAGCGAGAGAUAUGACAACAAAAUAUAUUAUAAAUGUAUUACAACAACCUGUGGUCACCAAGUUACUGACUCAACUUAAUUUUGAUAUGUACAUAAAUAUAAAAUAAAAUGAUGACUAAUCAUUUAGAGACACUAUGUGGAUGAGAUAAAUGUUUGUAACUUUUUUAAAUGUAAUAAAUUUAUUAGCAGGCA